RNAcentral lists this long non-coding RNA (1736 nucleotides) under Anser brachyrhynchus (Pink-footed goose). RNAcentral's name for it is "lncRNA (ENSABRG00000012872.1)". The record is from RNAcentral. Lineage: Eukaryota; Metazoa; Chordata; Aves; Anseriformes; Anatidae.
GACCAUCUCUUGGCAUGCUCUGGCGAAUUACUUUCACAGUAAGCUAAAGUAGCUUCCUGCACAGUGAAGCGAUCCUCUUUCUCUUCUGAGAUUCCCAUGAGGAAGGGGAGCUGAGUGUCUUUUGUAGUUCCCUGUGCCCUGUGCUGAACAGAAAGCUUAAGGAGGUCUUUCCUGGCAUAAAGGAACUGAAAUAAGUAGGCUGUGUAUGCAGCAGUGGCUUCUGGGAAUGGUUUCAGGACUUUGUAUUUCCUAGUUAUUUUGUGCCUUUUUUUUUUUUUUUUUUUUUGUCAAAGGGUAAACAUUUCAAACUAAAUUAUUCAGAAGGGAUUUAGAAGCUGUUUUCUUUAAGUUCUGCUGAAUACAAAUGUGUGGAGAGAAAAAAAAAUCAAGCAUUUUGCUUUGGUUUUGUGUUUUUGUUCACUGGUUACACUGAGAUCUUUGAGGAGAAAAGUUGUAUAGAUGUGUGGAGUGAUUCAGUUCCCCCUCUUCCUGAGCAGGGUUUUCACAGGAAUCCACUCCAAACCACUGCUUGAAGAGGGCUAUCUCAAGUCUACUAAAGGAGAGAAAAGAAAAUUCCUUGCAAAAUGAAGAGCCAUGAUAAAAAAUGGGGUGAUUCUACUUCCAAGACCAGUAUGCUGGUGGCAUUUCCUCAGCAAAUAAAAUUUUAUCAUGGCCUUGAAAUGUUGCAGCAGCCUUGGAAGAAUUUUAGGAAUGUCCCCAAGGAAGCAAUGAAUUUCUGAUUUGCAUAGAAAGGGACAGAGGUAAGGAGAGAGGAAGAGCCUGCUGCUGUGCAUAUUUAAUUCCUGACAUUGCUCUCCAGAACUCAAUGGGAAGAGAUCUGAGACAUGAAACCUGUACUGCUGAAUGAGGAGCACACCAGAAAUGUGAAUCACCACAGAUAAUAUGAUACUGGAUAGGAAUCUAAAACUCAAGACUGUGAUGAAUGCCAGAGAGAGAGAGAGAAGUUUCAUCUCAAAGGUAGUCAGAAUAUAGGAGUAGGCUGCUCAGAACAGUUGGCACAUGAAGGUGACUGUAAUCUGCUAGAUUUAGGAUCCAAUUCUAUGACAUACAUCAAGUCAAGGGGAUGUUUCUACGAUGAUGUUCCCUGUCACCAAUAUGUUGGGCAACUUUAAGGCACAUUAGACUGCCAAGAGCUUUUAUAGACCAGAGUACUUAAGAAGGUAGUUGGUUAGAGCUGAGUUCAAAUUACAAUUUGUUGUUUUGUUUUUCUCUCUUCCACUUUGCUUCCAACCCUGAAAUUAGGAUUUAAGAUUUUCUUCUUCUUGACUAAGCUUACACUAAUUUUCCCCAUCAUCUUUCCAGUGCUAGAGUUGAGGCCAAGGGAGGCUGACAAAUUCAGAUCACAUUCUGUCACUGGAGGUAAAGUAUGCAAGCGCCAGUCUAAUGCUCCCUCCAUAAGUUGCACCCUGACAUGAGACUGAAUGCUCUCAGCCAUGCUGGAAGGGUCAUCGGGGGCCUGGGAUUGCCAAGUGCUGUAUUGAGAAAGUUGUUCCUGGCAGGCACAGAGAACACCCCUUCUUCCAGGAACAGGUAACAAAGAGAGACCCCUCAUAGCAGACCCCCAGGGAACCAUUCAUACCACUCCAUGGUUUCAAGUGAAAAUGCAGCAGUUCUCAGCACAGGAGUGAAGGCUGAAAUUAAAAUAAUCAACAGAAAAUGGACCAUACUGAUUUGUGAGAUUGUGUUUGAAAAAACUAUUUACAACCCUUUUCUAC